GUAAAGGAAGAGGAAGAAAGGAACACCUGAUCAUGGAGCAAAAGGAAGAAGAGAAGGACCUGGCCAUGGAGCAGGAAGAGGAGCACCUGCCUGUGGAGGAAGAGGAAGAGGACCUGGCCACAGGAGUGGAGCACCUGGCCAUGGAGCAGGAGGAAGAGGAGGAGGACCUGGCUCCAGAGGAGAAAGAGGAAGACCUGGCCAUGGAGAAGGACCAGGCCACAGAGGAGGACAAGGAGGAUCUGGGUCAGGAGGAGGAGAAGGGAGAGGACCUGGCAAUGGAGGAGGACGAGGAUGUGGCCAUGCAGGGGGAAGAAGAAGAGGCGGAAGAAGAGGUAGAGGACCUGACUAUAGACUAGGAGGACCCAGGAAUGGAGGAGGAUGAGGAUGUGCCGAUGCAGGGGGAAGAAGAAGAGAAGGAGGUGGACCUGGCAAUGGAAGAGUAGGAGCAAGAGGACCUGGCCAGAGAGGAAGAUGAGAAGGAGGAGAACCUGGCCACGGAGAAGGAGCAGGAGGAAGAGGACCUGACCAGAGAAGAGGACGAGGAGGAAAAGGAGGAGGAGAACCUGGCCACAGAGGAGAGGGAGGAUCUGGCCAGAGAGGAGGAAGUGGAGGAGGGGGAGGACCUGGCCAUGGGAAUGGAGCACGUGGUCAUGGAGAAGAAAGCAGAAGAGGACGACUUGGAUGAGGAGGAGGAUAAGGAGGGCAAAGCCAAGUCCUCCUCCACCUCCAUGGCCAAUUCCUCCUUGCCCAGAUGCAUAAUCCAUUCCCAUUGCCAGACUCUUGCCCGCGGUGACAAUGAAGGAGCAGGAGAACUUCUGGGCUGCACAGUCGGGUGUCACGGGGACGUCUGUGGGAGCCAUUGACAGUGUGUUCUGUGUGGGCCAUUUUCCUUCUCUGACCCAGGGGUUCUCUGCUCCCAGAAUCUCAGCCAGGGAGGCCACCCUGCAGAAUAUGGCCCCGCAGUUUGGUGAUGGGCUGCAGGAGUCACCACGUAGCUGUGCAGCAGCCAUAGCACCUGCAUUGACCAGGGACCAAAACCUGCAGCCCUCACAGCCCAGGCUGCCCCCACGGAUGGCAAUGGGAGUGUAGCCUGGGCAACUAGCUGCUGGGCCAGGGCAUAUAGAGAGGACUCAGAGAUGCAGCAAACCAGUGGGCAGAGAAGUGAAGGAAGUAAGGGAAAGAGGAGAGCGAGGAGAUCGGGGGAGCUGCUGCAGUCAAGGGACCCCAGCCAGAAGAGAGAAGCUGGGUGGGUUAGACACACAAAGUCCUGCAUCUUGGCAGGGGUUAGACUAGAUGAACCUUGCCAGAGGCGGCGAGUUAUAUGGGCCUGUGGUGCCCGGGCUCCAGCAAAUUCAGGGCCUCGAGGGGCCCGGCUCCACCAAUGUUCAGGGCAGGGUUUCUCCCCCAGCCCGACCUGCCACUCCCACGUGCCACCCCCAGAGCAUCCCCCGGCCCUGCCUGCCACCCCCACGUGCCUCCCCCGGCCCUGCCUGCCACCCCCACGUGCCUCCCCCAAGCGUCUCUGCCUGCCCCCUGCAUCUCCACACUGUGCUCCCUCACUGGCCGCUGCCACUGCAGGCUACAGGGGAGCGGCGCUGGGGGCAGGCUGAGGCGGCUGCUGCGCCUGUGGAAGUAGGAGGCGCAUGGCAGCCUCCCCGCCCCCACCAGGUGACUCCAAGUCGAAUCUGAGGGGAGGGGCUUAUCCCGGUUGGACCUCCUGAGCAGCAGCCUGGUGGGGCCUGGCAUCUGUCACCUAAAAAGAAGGGCUGGCGUGUCUGGAUUUCCUCCGCAUCCUCUGCAGUGAAGACAGAAGCAAGGAACUUUUUUAGCUUCGCCGCAGUGGCCUGGUCUUCCUGGAGUGCUCCUUUAGCACCGAUUGCCUAGUGGCUUUGCUGACCGUUUGGCAGACUUCCUGCAUCCCAUGUACCCCCUCCGCAAGCAAAAACAAGGAGCGCCGCCCCCCCUCCGAGCGUCACACCGCCCAAGGCCCCGCCCCCGAGCAUCACCCAAGCCCCGCCCCCCGAGCGGCGCCCCGCCCAGUCCCCACCCUGAGCAUUGCCCCGCCCAAGUCCCCGCCCCUCGAGCAUCAUGCUGCCCAAGACCCCGCCCCCUAGCGUCACCCAAGC
RNA transcript from Mauremys mutica (yellowpond turtle), 2126 nucleotides. It is a transcript of the gene named glutamic acid-rich protein-like, with no coding region annotated. Lineage: Eukaryota; Metazoa; Chordata; Testudines; Geoemydidae. The record is from RefSeq and is a predicted model, not a curated record. The transcript is spliced from 2 exons.